Molecule: ribosomal RNA, 894 nt
Filed under: Lactiplantibacillus plantarum
Lineage: Bacteria; Bacillati; Bacillota; Bacilli; Lactobacillales; Lactobacillaceae
Description: bacterial SSU rRNA
Rfam family: Bacterial small subunit ribosomal RNA
Source: RNAcentral
UUUUAUUCUCGCUCAGGACGAACGCUGGCGGCGUGCCUAAUACAUGCAAGUCGAACGAACUCUGGUAUUGAUUGGUGCUUGCAUCAUGAUUUACAUUUGAGUGAGUGGCGAACUGGUGAGUAACACGUGGGAAACCUGCCCAGAAGCGGGGGAUAACACCUGGAAACAGAUGCUAAUACCGCAUAACAACUUGGACCGCAUGGUCCGAGUUUGAAAGAUGGCUUCGGCUAUCACUUUUGGAUGGUCCCGCGGCGUAUUAGCUAGAUGGUGGGGUAACGGCUCACCAUGGCAAUGAUACGUAGCCGACCUGAGAGGGUAAUCGGCCACAUUGGGACUGAGACACGGCCCAAACUCCUACGGGAGGCAGCAGUAGGGAAUCUUCCACAAUGGACGAAAGUCUGAUGGAGCAACGCCGCGUGAGUGAAGAAGGGUUUCGGCUCGUAAAACUCUGUUGUUAAAGAAGAACAUAUCUGAGAGUAACUGUUCAGGUAUUGACGGUAUUUAACCAGAAAGCCACGGCUAACUACGUGCCAGCAGCCGCGGUAAUACGUAGGUGGCAAGCGUUGUCCGGAUUUAUUGGGCGUAAAGCGAGCGCAGGCGGUUUUUUAAGUCUGAUGUGAAAGCCUUCGGCUCAACCGAAGAAGUGCAUCGGAAACUGGGAAACUUGAGUGCAGAAGAGGACAGUGGAACUCCAUGUGUAGCGGUGAAAUGCGUAGAUAUAUGGAAGAACACCAGUGGCGAAGGCGGCUGUCUGGUCUGUAACUGACGCUGAGGCUCGAAAGUAUGGGUAGCAAACAGGAUUAGAUACCCUGGUAGUCCAUACCGUAAACGAUGAAUGCUAAGUGUUGGAGGGUUUCCGCCCUUCAGUGCUGCAGCUAACGCAUUAAGCAUCCG